CUAGCGCAGAGGAUAUGACCCAAAUAUGAGCAGGCGGGACUUUUCAGCCUAUACAGUGCUCAAAAUACCCUCUCCAAAAGAUAUACUCGCUUGCUCAAGGAGACAUCUGGAUACUGUGUCGGUGCAGCUGCAUUCAAGUGGGUUGACACUGGGGCCGCGGGGUGUGCCAAAAGCCAACAGGGUCAAACACCUUCCCCUCCGAAAAAGCAAUGAUCCCAGAGCCCUGGCAUCUCCAUCUGAGCCAUCUCCAGCCAAAGAGCUGACACACACGCAAAUGCUCAUCUGCUCGGCCUCUCAACAACCAACUGCUGGGCUGUGACAGCGCUGAGAAAACAAAAUUUUCUUGAUACCGGCAAAGGAUUUUGGACACGCAACCGUGGGAAACGCGAAGUUGUCGGGAGAUCACACAGGGACGGAUGCCGUGGAUGGCUCGGCUGAGGACAUUCAGAGGAAGAGCAUGCAAAGGAAGGGGAGCGGUUAGCAGAUGAUUAUGACUGGAACAGACAGCUUUGGAAUCCAGAAGAGCAUGAGACCUUCAUGUGGGGAUGAGCCACCUCCGAGAUCAAUGUCUGCAUUUUGUUGAUCAAGGACUGCAGAUCUACCAUGCAAGAUGCAUUUUGUUUGCUAAAUAAUUAUCUGAAGUCUCUAUUCAUUUGCAGAUUUUUCACACAAAAACAGAAUGCAUGAUAAUGACGUUGUAUGGUUGAAUAACAUUUCUAGUCUUUAUUUGGCACAAUAGGUGAUUAAUGGAGCGAAAUCGCUUCUGGUAAUUUUUCCCUUUACUGCAUGCAUUGACUUUUAAGGCCAUUUACCACUGAACAGAAUGCAGUAAAGUUACUUUUAAAAUCUUUCAAUCUAGAGCUGGUUUAAAGGAUGUAAACAUACAAUAUACUGUGUAAGAUCCCGAAGCUCACCUUAAUAUCCUAAAUUAAUUUCCUUACCAUGGGUAUACCUACUUUAUAUUUAUCAGUUAUUGUGCAAAAUAGCAUUCCUACCACUGUUAAGAGUUUUGUGUGCCUUCAGCUUCAAUAAAAACAAUAUCCUAAA
This is a long non-coding RNA of Triplophysa rosa, 1047 nucleotides long. RefSeq lists it as uncharacterized. Lineage: Eukaryota; Metazoa; Chordata; Actinopteri; Cypriniformes; Nemacheilidae. The transcript has 5 exons. The record is from RefSeq and is a predicted model, not a curated record.